AGCACAGCCAUGAACGCGGCUUGACUGUUUUGUAUUGGGUUUAUCCACCUUAACGUUUGAAGGCGGUUCGUCCGUCGCCCGCUCGGCUAGUUCUGAAAAUAUUACAGAGAAACUCAAGUGAUUGUAUUGAACUACUAGUAUCCUCACAUCGCUAUGUUCUCCAUCAGUUCAAAUAAAUCUUUGGUACUCUUGCGGUUCUGCAGCAGGGCUGCUUGUCGGACGAGGACAAGUCGCGUCAAUUGUGAACAUCAGAACUAAGGACAUUCUUGAUGAAGAUGAACGCAAAACGUGUAUGCGGGCCCAUGGAAUCGCUGCUGCUUGCCUUGUUAUCUUUCUCCCUUGUUCGAGGUCACACUACUAGCCGACCAGGUGCGAAUCCGGCGGAGGGCAAUGGUGCUGGGUUCAGUGUCGGCGGUCUGAAGUCGGUCCUGGAGAACACUGUGUCCCCUGCCUUCGGUGCCACCAUCAUCAUCAUCAUCACCGUUAUUGUGUCGGGGAGCGCCUAUCUCUGUUUCCUGAAGUACGUCUGUACGGGCUGCUGCAAAGCCACUCAGGUGGCUCCAGUCACACACCUGGACCCUAACAAGAGUGAAGAACAGGUGUAGUGUGUAACGGGUGUAGUGAGGGACAGGUAUAGUGAGGGACAGGUGUAGUGAGGGACAGGUGUAGUGAGGGACGGGUGUAGUGAGGGACAGGUGUAGUGAGGGACGGCUGUAGUGAGGGACAGGUGUAGUUUGGUACAGGUGUAGUGUGUAAUGAGGCGUAGUGUGUAACGGGUGUAGUGUGGGACGGGUGUAGUGUGGGACGGGUGUAGUGUGGGACGGGUGUAGUGUGUAACGGGUGUAGUGUGUAACGGGUGUAGUGUGUAACGGGUGUAGUGAGGGACGGGUGUAGUGUGUAACGGGUGUAGUGUGUAACGGGUGUAGUGUAGGGACGGGUGUAGUGUGUAACGGGUGUAGUGAGGGACGGGUGUAGUGUGUAACGGGUGUAGUGAGGGACGGGUGUAGUGAGGGACGGGUGUAGUGAGGGACGGGUGUAUUGUAGGGAGGUGUGUGGAAUACUGACCUCAUUCUGGACCAUUCUUUCCCUGGCAUUUCAGCACUUGAUGGAAUCCUUCAGUUCAUCUCUUUCAUGUUUAAUGACUGUGAACACGAGUGAUUUAUUGAGCUCAUUGAAGAGUUGUGUGUGUAAGUGAUUACUGUUCUGAUCUUUGCCCGCCACCAACACCUCCCAUCCAAGAGACCCUCAGAGAGACAGACGGAUGUGAUUCAAAAAGAAAGGCUGCAAAAUGAUCACACACAGACAAUAGAAAAUUAAGUGGCUCAACCAAGCCUGACAUUAAUUGAGUAAACUGCCUGUGAGCCUUUGUGUCUGCAGUGGCUUAUGCAUUUGUGUGAUUAUUAAUGUGUGUUUUAUUUGUGUGGGUUUGAGUAUCUAAGUGAGUGUGUGUUUGUUUCCAAAGGGAGCAACCUGCUAUGACUGAUGUGAGAAAGUAGGAACACGUAAUUUCUGGGGAUUUCGAAACCUCACCUCCCUUUUCUGUUUUUCUUUACCUGAUCAUCUCUCUUAUUACAUUUCUUCUUUCUUCCUCCUUAUGAUACAGUACAUAAUCACACCAGAACCAAUUACAGUGCCAAGUCACCAAACAAUAGACAUUUUCAUUUAUGCUGAUUGUCUCCAUGCAAAGCUGCGUGAAGAGAAGCCAAUUGUACUUCCUUAAUCACAACAGAGACACUGUAUCAAACUAAUUAUCCUCACCCACAGAAGCUUUCAACUCAGUUUUUUUUAUAAACUCAGCUUUUGCAGUGUUGCACAGCGCGUUAUUUUCUAAAUGUGUUUUUUUGUUGAAAAUGAGUGAUUAAAAUGUCUCCAUACCCAAUCCAUCCUAAGAGGAUUUAUCUGUGAUGUGUGCCAGAAUGAAAGAUCGAAAGUGACAGGA
Esox lucius (northern pike) is the source of this 1939-nucleotide long non-coding RNA. NCBI's taxonomy places the organism in Eukaryota, Metazoa, Chordata, Actinopteri, Esociformes, Esocidae. The record is from Ensembl.